GACGAACGCUGGCGGCGUGCUUAACACAUUCAAGUCGAACGGAAAGGCCCUGCUUUUGUGGGGUGCUCGAGUGGCGAACGGGUGAGUAACACGUGAGUAACCUGCCCUUGACUUUGGGAUAACUUCAGGAAACUGGGGCUAAUACCGGAUAGGAGCUCCUGCUGCAUGGUGGGGGUUGGAAAGUUUCGGCGGUUGGGGAUGGACUCGCGGCUUAUCAGCUUGUUGGUGGGGUAGUGGCUUACCAAGGCUUUGACGGGUAGCCGGCCUGAGAGGGUGACCGGCCACAUUGGGACUGAGAUACGGCCCAGACUCCUACAGGAGGCAGCAGUGGGGAAUAUUGCACAAUGGGCGGAAGCCUGAUGCAGCAACGCCGCGUGCGGGAUGACGGCCUUCGGGUUGUAAACCGCUUUCGCCUGUGACGAAGCGUGAGUGACGGUAAUGGGUAAAGAAGCACCGGCUAACUACGUG
Molecule: ribosomal RNA, 468 nt
Filed under: uncultured bacterium
Lineage: Bacteria
Description: partial 16S ribosomal RNA
Rfam family: Bacterial small subunit ribosomal RNA
Source: RNAcentral